CCUACGGGUGGCAGCAGUGGGGAAUAUUGCACAAUGGGGGGAACCCUGAUCCAGCGACGCCGCGUGAGCGAUGAAGUAUUUCGGUAUGUAAAGCUCUAUCAGCCGGGAAGAAAAUGACGGUACCUGACUAAGAAGCCCCGGCUAACUACGUGCCAGCAGCCGCGGUAAUACGUAGGGGGCAAGCGUUAUCCGGAUUUACUGGGUGUAAAGGGAGCGUAGACGGUUUAGCAAGCCAGAUGUGAAAGGUUGGGGCCCAAACCCAGGACUGCAUUUGAAACUGUUGAACUGGAGUGUCGGAGAGGUAAGCGGAAUUCCGAGUGUAGCGGUGAAAUGCGUAGAUAUUAGGAGGAACACCAGUGGCGAAGGCGGCUUACUGGACUGCAACUGACGUUGAGGCUCGAAAGCGUGGGGAGCAAACAGGAUUAGAUACCCUAGUAGUC
Molecule: ribosomal RNA, 440 nt
Filed under: uncultured bacterium
Lineage: Bacteria
Description: partial 16S ribosomal RNA
Rfam family: Bacterial small subunit ribosomal RNA
Source: RNAcentral